This 328-nucleotide ribosomal RNA is filed under the name uncultured eukaryote. RNAcentral's name for it is "partial 18S ribosomal RNA". It matches the Rfam family "Eukaryotic small subunit ribosomal RNA", at positions 1470 to 1796 of the family's 1831-position model. The record is from RNAcentral.
CCCUUAGAUGUUCUGGGCUGCACGCGCGCUACACUGAUGCGCUCAACGAGUUUAUGAACUUGCCCGGAAGGGUUGGUUAAUCUUUUUAAAACGCAUCGUGAUGGGGAUAGAUUAUUGCAAUUAUUAAUCUUCAACGAGGAAUUCCUAGUAAGCGCGAGUCAUCAGCUCGUGCUGAUUACGUCCCUGCCCUUUGUACACACCGCCCGUCGCUCCUACCGAUUGAGUGGUCCGGUGAGGCUUUGGGAUCUGAGCGGAAAGAGCGUUUCGCUGUUUCUGCUUGGAAAACUCAGUCGAACCUUAUCAUUUAGAGGAAGGAGAAGUCGUAACA